GUCUACGGCCACGCCACCCUGAACACGCCCGAUCCCGUCUGAUCUCGGAAGCUAAGCGGGGUCGGGCCUGGUUAGCACUUGGAUGGGAGGCCACCUACGAAGACCAGGUGCUGUAGGUG
This 119-nucleotide ribosomal RNA is filed under the name Pteropus alecto (black flying fox). The record is from RNAcentral. Lineage: Eukaryota; Metazoa; Chordata; Mammalia; Chiroptera; Pteropodidae.